This 301-nucleotide ribosomal RNA is filed under the name uncultured bacterium. Its description in RNAcentral is "partial 16S ribosomal RNA". It matches the Rfam family "Bacterial small subunit ribosomal RNA", at positions 509 to 807 of the family's 1533-position model. The record is from RNAcentral.
CAGCAGCCACGGUAAUACGAAGGGUGCAAGCGUUGCUCGGAAUUAUUGGGCGUAAAGGGUAGGUAGGUUGUCUUGUUUGUCUAAGGUGAAAUCCCAUGGCUUAACCGUGGAAGUGCCUUAGAAACGGCAAGACUAGAGUCCUAGAGGGGUUUGUGGAAUUCCCGGUGUAGCGGUGAAAUGCGUAGAGAUCGGGAGGAACACCAGCGGUGAAGGCGGCAAACUGGAUAGGAACUGACACUCAACUACGAAAGCGUGGGGACCAAACAGGAUUAGAUACCCGCGUAGUCCCUGUCUCUUAUAC